Molecule: ribosomal RNA, 858 nt
Filed under: Priestia endophytica
Lineage: Bacteria; Bacillati; Bacillota; Bacilli; Caryophanales; Bacillaceae
Description: bacterial SSU rRNA
Rfam family: Bacterial small subunit ribosomal RNA
Source: RNAcentral
ACGAACGCUGGCGGCGUGCCUAAUACAUGCAAGUCGAGCGGAGUUUUGAAAAGCUUGCUUUUCAAAACUUAGCGGCGGACGGGUGAGUAACACGUGGGCAACCUGCCCUUGAGACGGGGAUAACUCCGGGAAACCGGAGCUAAUACCGGAUAACACAUAUCUUCGCAUGAGGAUAUGUUAGAAGGUGGCUUUUAGCUACCACUCAAGGAUGGGCCCGCGGCGCAUUAGCUAGUUGGUGAGGUAACGGCUCACCAAGGCGACGAUGCGUAGCCGACCUGAGAGGGUGAUCGGCCACACUGGGACUGAGACACGGCCCAGACUCCUACGGGAGGCAGCAGUAGGGAAUCUUCCGCAAUGGACGAAAGUCUGACGGAGCAACGCCGCGUGAGUGAUGAAGGUUUUCGGAUCGUAAAGCUCUGUUGUUAGGGAAGAACAAGUACCUGUUGAAUAAGCAGGUACCUUGACGGUACCUAACCAGAAAGCCACGGCUAACUACGUGCCAGCAGCCGCGGUAAUACGUAGGUGGCAAGCGUUGUCCGGAAUUAUUGGGCGUAAAGCGCGCGCAGGCGGUUCCUUAAGUCUGAUGUGAAAGCCCACGGCUCAACCGUGGAGGGUCAUUGGAAACUGGGGAACUUGAGUGCAGAAGAGGAGAGCGGAAUUCCACGUGUAGCGGUGAAAUGCGUAGAGAUGUGGAGGAACACCAGUGGCGAAGGCGGCUCUCUGGUCUGUAACUGACGCUGAGGCGCGAAAGCGUGGGGAGCGAACAGGAUUAGAUACCCUGGUAGUCCACGCCGUAAACGAUGAGUGCUAAGUGUUAGAGGGUUUCGGCCCUUUAGUGCUGCAGCAAACGCAUUAGGC